CCAAAAGAUAAUCUUUCAACACUGAAAGAUCUUUUCCUUUGUGCUGGCUUUGACCGUAUGUAAUUUUGGGACUUUAAAAUGGUUCGCAAGGGCCGGUCCCAAAAACAAUAUAUCAUCCUUAUGAAAUUUUUUCUGAACAAUUAAACAAAUGAUUUUAAUAAUCUGUUUAAAA
Molecule: unclassified non-coding RNA, 172 nt
Filed under: uncultured fungus
Lineage: Eukaryota; Fungi
Description: sequence contains ITS1, 5.8S rRNA gene
Source: RNAcentral